GAUGAACGCUGGCGGCGUGCCUAAUACAUGCAAGUCGAGCGAACGGACGAGAAGCUUGCUUCUCUGAUGUUAGCGGCGGACGGGUGAGUAACACGUGGAUAACCUACCUAUAAGACUGGGAUAACUUCGGGAAACCGUAGCUAAUACCGGAUAAUAUUUUGAACCGCAUGGUUCAAAAGUGAAAGACGGUCUUGCUGUCACUUAUAGAUGGAUCCGCGCUGCAUUAGCUAGUUGGUAAGGUAACGGCUUACCAAGGCAACGAUGCAUAGCCGAACUGAGAGGGGGAUCGGCGACACUGGAACGGAGACACGGUCCAGACUCCUACGGGAGGCAGCAGUAGGGAAUCUUCCGCAAUGGGCGAAAGCCUGACGGAGCAACGCCGCGUGAGUGAUGAAGGUCUUCGGAUCGUAAAACUCUGUUAUUAGGGAAGAACAUAUGUGUAAGUAACUGUGCACAUCGUGACGGUACCUAAUCAGAAAGCCACGGCUAACUACGUG
Molecule: ribosomal RNA, 497 nt
Filed under: uncultured bacterium
Lineage: Bacteria
Description: partial 16S ribosomal RNA
Rfam family: Bacterial small subunit ribosomal RNA
Source: RNAcentral